ACCAAGGCGAUGAUGCAUAGCCGGGCUGAGAGGCUGAACGGCCACAUUGGGACUGAGACACGGCCCAGACUCCUACGGGAGGCAGCAGUAGGGAAUUUUCGGCAAUGGGGGAAACCCUGACCGAGCAACGCCGCGUGAGUGAUGAAGGUCUUCGGAUUGUAAAGCUCUGUUGUAAGGGAAGAAUGAAUUGGAUAGAAUCCGAUUGUGACGGUACCUUACCAGAAAGCUACGGCUAACUACGUGCCAGCAGCCGCGGUAAUACGUAGGUAGCGAGCGUUAUCCGGAAUUAUUGGGCGUAAAGGGUGCGUAGGCGGCUUGUUAAGUUUAAGGUGAAAGAAUGGGGCUCAACCCCAUAAAGCCUUAGAUACUGGCAAGCUAGAGUACUGGAGAGGGUAGUGGAAUUCCAUGUGUAGCGGUAAAAUGCGUAGAUAUAUGGAGGAACACCGGUGGCGAAGGCGGCUACCUAGACAGAGACUGACGCUGAGGCACGAAAGCGUGGGGGAGCAAAUAGGAUUAGAUACCCUAGUAGUCCACGCCGUAAACGAUGAAUGCUAGAUAUCGGGGCAACUCGGUGUCGAAACUAACGCGAUAAGCAUUCCGCCUGUGGAGUAUGCACGCAAGUGUGAAACAUAAAGGAAUUGACGGGGGCCCGCACAAGCGGUGGAGUAUGUGGUUUAAUUCGACGCAACGCGAAGAACCUUACCAGGCCUUGACAUCCCUUGCAAAACUCUAGAGAUAGAGCAGAGGUUAUCAAGGUGACAGGUGGUGCAUGGUUGUCGUCAGCUCGUGUCGUGAGAUGUUGGGUUAAGUCCCGCAACGAGCGCAACCCUUGUCUUCAGUUACCAUCAUUAAGUUGGGGACUCUGGAGAGACUGCCGGUGAUAAACCGGAGGAAGGUGGGGAUGACGUCAAAUCAUCAUGCCCCUUAUGGCCUGGGCUACACACGUACUACAAUGGCUGUUACAACGUGAAGCAACACUGUGAAGUGAAGCGAAUCACUAAAAGGCAGUCUCAGUUCGGAUUGAAGUCUGCAACUCGACUUCAUGAAGUUGGAAUCGCUAGUAAUCGCGGAUCAGCAUGCCGCGGUGAAUACGUUCUCGGGCCUUGUACACACCGCCCGUCAUACCAUGAGAGCUGGCAAUACCCGAAGCCGG
This 1153-nucleotide ribosomal RNA is filed under the name uncultured bacterium. Its description in RNAcentral is "bacterial SSU rRNA". It matches the Rfam family "Bacterial small subunit ribosomal RNA", at positions 267 to 1430 of the family's 1533-position model. The record is from RNAcentral.